GCUUCUCUACCAACGGCCGCUGCAAUUGCCAAUGUUACAAAAAGUGCCAGCAAUCGCCGCUUCUUCUUCUUCUCCUCUUCCCUUGCCCAUAACUUCAACCAUUAUCGCCCGUUCUUCGCUGUACGUCCAACUUUUUCUAGUUUUACCCCACCACUUGGUAAGGAUAAUGUCGCUACCAGGGGAAGAAUCUCCAGAAAUGGUGCGCGGU
RNAcentral lists this unclassified non-coding RNA (208 nucleotides) under Hevea brasiliensis (rubber tree). The record is from RNAcentral. Lineage: Eukaryota; Viridiplantae; Streptophyta; Magnoliopsida; Malpighiales; Euphorbiaceae.